RNAcentral lists this long non-coding RNA (665 nucleotides) under Rattus norvegicus (Norway rat). Its description in RNAcentral is "long non-coding RNA NONRATT020382". The record is from RNAcentral. Lineage: Eukaryota; Metazoa; Chordata; Mammalia; Rodentia; Muridae.
GGCUGGAGGUGGCCCCUGUGCCUAGGCCCAAGGGCAAUGUCCGUCCCACAACCUGCUUCUAACAGGAGCCGCCACCCUCUCUAAAUGGAAGUAGUGGGGAGGGUGGCCUCUGCCUGUCCCCUUUCAGGCUCCAGAGCUCUGCAAGGCCUCUGCCUGUCCCCUUUCAGGCUCCAGAGCUCUGCAAGGCCUCUGCCUGUCCCCUUUCAGGCUCCAGAGCUCUGCAAGGCCUUGGUUUCUUUAUCCCCAGGCAGGUCCUGUGGCCUAGCAGUUAUAUCUCAUAUGCUAAGUAGUGUAGACAUCUUGCCCCAUACACACAAGCACACACGUGUACACGCAUGUACACACACAACACACAUGCAGGCUCUUCUUAGCAGGUCACCCUUCCUUGGCUCUGCCUAGAACCUUCCCCACUGCAGCCCUGGUGCUUCUGGGCAGAUGGGGGCUGACAUGGGUUGUCUGACUUUUGGCCCAGCCUCCUGCCCUCCCCAGUGGCUUCUCUGAGAAGCUGGGUGAGGCAGGCAGGAACAGCUUCCCCCAUGCGUUGGAGAGAACAGCCCGGAGCUGGAGGCUGCUCUAUCCCUGCCUUCCCAGGGUCCUCAGGCAGGGCCCCUGCUGUGCUGUGGUGCUGUCCUAUCGGUCACUAAUGGAAUAAAGGCUGCGUCUCU